Molecule: small nuclear RNA, 161 nt
Filed under: Myotis brandtii (Brandt's bat)
Lineage: Eukaryota; Metazoa; Chordata; Mammalia; Chiroptera; Vespertilionidae
Description: U1 spliceosomal RNA
Rfam family: U1 spliceosomal RNA
About the family: U1 is a small nuclear RNA (snRNA) component of the spliceosome (involved in pre-mRNA splicing).
Source: Rfam by way of RNAcentral
UUACUUACCUUUAGGGAAGCUAUCAUGAUCACGAAGCUGGUCUCCCUAGGGUGAGGCUCACCCAUUGCACUCCUGCUGUGCUGACUCCUGCAGUUUCUCCAAAUGUGGGAAAUUCAACUGCAUAAUUUUUGGUAGUGGGGGACUGCACUCACAUUCUCCCU